GGGGAGACAAACUGCAUCCCAAUCAUGACAGCCAUGUUGUUUAGAUAUUUUCAAUACUGUAAAUUUUGUUUAGCACUGUUAUGGGCUGAAUCCUCUCUCUCUGUUGAAGUUCUAGCCUGCAGCACUUCAGAAUGUGGCUGCAUCUAGAGGUAGGGUCUUUAGGGAGGCCGCUAGCCAUAAUGCUAAGUAAAAUAAAUCAGACACGGGAUGUUAAAUAUCACACAGUUUCUCUUAUAUGGGAAACCCAAUGUAUAAAUCAUCUAUAAAGCCAAAGGAAUGAGAAGUGGCAGGAAACAGCACUCUUAGUCAUUAGAAGAAGUAAAAUGUUGGAUAUUACCAUUCCUGGAACUACAAAGAUGUGCAAAAAUGUAAAAGUAAAUAUAAAAUAAAGUAAGGUGAUUUAGGUGUACCCUGAUCCUCCCUGCAUGGAGAGAGGAUCAGCAUACCUGCACACAGAGCAGAGACCAUGUGAAGACACACAGAGGACAUGGGCUCUACAAGUCACAGAGGUCACAUCCUAUUUACCAGCCGGUCUGCCCAUGCCCUGAUCGCCUGCCUUGUGGAGGAUGUGAACUGCAGAAGGAAGAUGUGGGAUGAGGAACCAGAUUUGCCACACAGGUCUUUGGAGCCAGGGCCAUAUCCUCUUGAAGUUCUCUCCUCUAGAAAAUUCUGAGCAUUAAUAAAAAUGUCCUACAAUGGAGGAAUGUUGCACAUUCGUCCUUGC
Molecule: long non-coding RNA, 724 nt
Organism: Fukomys damarensis (Damara mole-rat)
Lineage: Eukaryota; Metazoa; Chordata; Mammalia; Rodentia; Bathyergidae
Exons: 4
Source: RefSeq, a predicted model, not a curated record